UGGGGAAUAUUGCACAAUGGGCGCAAGCCUGAUGCAGCCAUGCCGCGUGUAUGAAGAAGGCCUUCGGGUUGUAAAGUACUUUCAGCGGGGAGGAAGGUGUUGAGGUUAAUAACCUCAGCAAUUGACGCUACCCGCAGAAGAAGCACCGGCUAACUCCGUGCCAGCAGCCGCGGUAAUACGGAGGGUGCAAGCGUUAAUCGGAAUUACUGGGCGUAAAGCGCACGCAGGCGGUCUGUCAAGUCGGAUGUGAAAUCCCCGGGCUCAACCUGGGAACUGCAUUCGAAACUGGCAGGCUAGAGUCUUGUAGAGGGGGGUAGAAUUCCAGGUGUAGCGGUGAAAUGCGUAGAGAUCUGGAGGAAUACCGGUGGCGAAGGCGGCCCCCUGGACAAAGACUGACGCUCAGGUGCGAAAGCGUGGGGAGCAAACA
Molecule: ribosomal RNA, 427 nt
Filed under: uncultured bacterium
Lineage: Bacteria
Description: partial 16S ribosomal RNA
Rfam family: Bacterial small subunit ribosomal RNA
Source: RNAcentral